UGGCUCAGAACGAACGCUGGCGGCAGGCCUCAAACAUGCAAGUCUAGGGGGUGUAGCAAUACAUCACCGGCGGACGGGUGCGUAACGCGUGGGAAUAUACCUAUUGGUUCGGAACAACUGAGGGAAACUUCAGCUAAUACCGAAUGUGCCCUUACGGGGAAAGAUUUAUCGCCAAUGGAUUAGCCCGCGUCCGAUUAGCUAGUUGGUGGGGUAACGGCCCGCCAAGGCUCCGAUCGGUAGCUGUUCUGAGAGGAAGAUCAGCCACACUGGGACUGAGACACGACCCAGACUCCUACGG
Molecule: ribosomal RNA, 298 nt
Filed under: uncultured Alphaproteobacteria bacterium
Lineage: Bacteria; Pseudomonadati; Pseudomonadota; Alphaproteobacteria
Description: partial 16S ribosomal RNA
Rfam family: Bacterial small subunit ribosomal RNA
Source: RNAcentral